AACGCAUAUUGCACUCUUUCGGUAUUCCAAAGAGUAUGCUUGUUUGAGUAUCAGUAAAAUCCCCUCAAGCAAUUUUUUUUUUCUUUUUUUUUUUGCUUGGACUUGAGCCGUAACUGAAAAUAUGGUUAUCUCAAUUUUCCAGCAGCUUCAAAUACUGGUGCAGCCGAUUCAGAAAAUUUGUUUUCUGUGAUACAAAGUAUAUUUAUUUAAUCUUUUAAAAUGGAUUCUUUCGCGUUACAAAAAAUAAUCUGAUUUUGACUGACUGAUAACAGGAAUUUCUAGCAAAGCAUUCUAUGUUUUCUAGACUUUUUGGUCUCAAAUUAAGUAAGACUACCCGCUGGACUUAA
RNAcentral lists this unclassified non-coding RNA (347 nucleotides) under uncultured fungus. RNAcentral's name for it is "partial contains 5.8S ribosomal RNA, internal transcribed spacer 2, and large subunit ribosomal RNA". Lineage: Eukaryota; Fungi. The record is from RNAcentral.